CAGUCGCCGCGGGAAUACGUAGGGGGCAAGCGUUGUCCGGAAUCAUUGGGCGUAAAGAGCGUGUAGGCGGUUCGGUAAGUCCGCUGUGAAAGUCCAGGGCUCAACCCUGGAAUGCCGGUGGAAACUGUCGAACUAGAGUCCGGAAGAGGCGAGUGGAAUUCCUGGUGUAGCGGUGAAAUGCGCAGAUAUCAGGAGGAACACCAAUGGCGAAGGCAGCUCGCUGGGACGGUACUGACGCUGAGACGCGAAAGCGUGGGGAGCAAACAGGAUUAGAUACCCCCGUAGUCCCUGUCUCUUAUAC
RNAcentral lists this ribosomal RNA (301 nucleotides) under uncultured bacterium. Its description in RNAcentral is "partial 16S ribosomal RNA". It matches the Rfam family "Bacterial small subunit ribosomal RNA", at positions 509 to 807 of the family's 1533-position model. The record is from RNAcentral.